This 31-nucleotide non-coding RNA is filed under the name Rattus norvegicus (Norway rat). The record is from RNAcentral. Lineage: Eukaryota; Metazoa; Chordata; Mammalia; Rodentia; Muridae.
UGGGAAUCCACAGAGGAAAUUAAGGCUCAGC